Bubalus bubalis (water buffalo) is the source of this 1024-nucleotide long non-coding RNA. RefSeq lists it as uncharacterized. Lineage: Eukaryota; Metazoa; Chordata; Mammalia; Artiodactyla; Bovidae. The transcript has 2 exons. The record is from RefSeq and is a predicted model, not a curated record.
AAUAGCAAAUAAAUCAACUGACAAAGAACUAAUCUCAAAAAUAUAUAAACCUAAAAAUUAAUAUGCUUCCUAUUCUAGGUUUCCCAAACUGACACCCAAUCCUGAGAUACACUCCAUUAUAUUUAAGGAUCUAACAGACACCUUUUUCAACACUAAAUGGUCUCUAAGAUGUCUUUCAAAACAAUUAAUGUGAAGGUUCUAGAGAAAUUGUGUCAAACCCAUCUUCCUUCCUACGAGGAUAGCUUCCAGAAAUUCCGUUUAUGGUUGUUGAGUCAUUGCUUUGUUCUCAGUGCUUUCAGUUUCAUAUAACUCUAAAUCUGUUAGAAAGGUUGCUUUACUUCUAACUGUCUAUUUACUAAAGGAAAGCAGGCAAGACCCGGGAAAUUGAGCUGGUGAAAUAAAAGUUUAACCAUCUAGUGAGAGACGGAGAACUUUGCUACAGAACCACUCUACCUGAGCUGAGCAGAAAACAGACAAGGCAACAUGGCCUCAGAGGCCCACAUGCCAGGCCCAGAGUGCCUCAGUGAGAACACUAAUGGGCGACCGCUGGUUAAUCUGAAAGCCCUGAAGAUCCUAUCUGCCAUCAGGCAGCCUGUUAUGGUGGUGGCUAUCAUGGGCCUCUACUGCACAGGCAAAUCCUACCUGAUGAACAAGCUGACUGGGGAGAAAAAGGGUGAGUAAGACCAGCAGAGCCCAGCCAAGUCCCUUCUGUCCACCCAUACUCCCAGCAUGCAGCACAGUGAUGUGAGGAGAGGAAGUGAGAGACCUGGAAGGAAUAUUGAAAGCUAACUUUCAGUCCACAGUUAUGUUCUUAACGUCACUAUGACCUGUAUCAGAUCACAGCUCUUUGCACUUUGUCUUAGUUUCUUUUUUAAAAGCAUAAAUUGUUCCUUUCCUAGAAAGACUAAUGUGGUAAUAAAAAUUAAGUAAUGUAUGUAAAAAUAAACUAUAAGACAUUUACAAAAACAUUCAUGUAGUGAAAGCAUAUCCGUUGAUCUUUAAAUUAAAAAAACGUUUAAAUUUG